This 887-nucleotide long non-coding RNA is filed under the name Prunus dulcis (almond). RNAcentral describes it as "sRNA ncRNA". The record is from RNAcentral. Lineage: Eukaryota; Viridiplantae; Streptophyta; Magnoliopsida; Rosales; Rosaceae.
UAAAAACCUCAUACUACCUAUUAAUGGGAUGGAGUUGUGGGAUAGAACUAAUAUGCCACCAUGUGUGCCUCCUUCAUGCUCCAAACAAUCUAGAAGGCCAGAAGGAAGGAAGCAUGAGAGCUAGAUAGCAAGACUCAACAUAAGGGUGAGUUAAGCAGGAAGGCUAAUGUUGUUUCACAUGUUCAAGACUUAUUGAAGUGUGGCCAAUAUGGAGGAAAUUGCCACAAUAAAAGGACUUGCCAUAGGAAUCUACCCCUCAAAAAAAAGAAAAAAAAGAAGGCCGAGGUAAAAAUCUGAGGAUGAACACUUGUUACUUUCAUGUUUUUAGAUAGAAUCCUGCAACUAACUACAUAUUAUUUUUUGUCUUAACCUAGCAAACUAUUGAAACAAGUGAAGUUGGUCCCAGUUCAAGAACAAGGCGCGUUAAGCCUGCUAAAGUUGUGCAGAAAGGAAAAUGGAAGAGAAAGGACACCACUGCAGCUGGGAGUUCAAAUAUACCACCAAGUGAUUUAGCUGCUCCAUCAUCAACAUUUGCUUCUUCUGCAUCAACUGGAAAUUAUUAUGUAUUGAGGAAACGACAUGUGGUGCUGGGAGUAUCAAACUUGAGCAAGGAAUGAUGACGAUCUUGCAAUUAGUCCUUUUGAAAUGCACACGUGUCCUUGUUGUUAUUUUGAAAUCACAUACUUGUAUUAGCUUGUUAGGUUAUGUUAUUUUGGAUUCACAAGACAAUUUUAGCUGGUUGGGUUAUUUUGGAAGACAAGUUGGCUUAUUUUGGAAGAUAGCUUGUGUUAUUUUGGAAGGCAGGUUCUGUUUUUUUGGAAGACAGAUUCUGUUAUUUAGAAGGUUGUCAAUGUUAUUUUGUGCCCUAUUUUGUUGUCAUGCUGCAA